GUGGGGAAUCUUAGACAAUGGGGGAAACCCUGAUCUAGCCAUGUCGCGUGAGCGAUGAAGGCCUUAGGGUUGUAAAGCUCUUUCAGCUGGGAAGAUAAUGACUGUACCAGCAGAAGAAGCCCCGGCUAACUCCGUGCCAGCAGCCGCGGUAAUACGGAGGGGGCUAGCGUUGUUCGGAAUUACUGGGCGUAAAGCGCACGUAGGCGGACCGGAAAGUCAGAGGUGAAAUCCCAGGGCUCAACCUUGGAACUGCCUUUGAAACUCCUGGUCGUGAGGUCGAGAGAGGUGAGUGGAAUUCCGAGUGUAGAGGUGAAAUUCGUAGAUAUUCGGAGGAACACAAGUGGCGAAGGCGGCUCACUGGCUCGAUACUGACGCUGAGGUGCGAAAGCGUGGGGAGCAAACAGGAUUAGAAACCCGUGUAGUCC
RNAcentral lists this ribosomal RNA (425 nucleotides) under uncultured bacterium. RNAcentral's name for it is "partial 16S ribosomal RNA". It matches the Rfam family "Bacterial small subunit ribosomal RNA", at positions 354 to 796 of the family's 1533-position model. The record is from RNAcentral.